RNAcentral lists this small nuclear RNA (141 nucleotides) under Aotus nancymaae (Ma's night monkey). RNAcentral describes it as "U4 spliceosomal RNA (ENSANAG00000011415.1)". It matches the Rfam family "U4 spliceosomal RNA". From Rfam's summary of the family: U4 small nuclear RNA (U4 snRNA) is a component of the major U2-dependent spliceosome. Lineage: Eukaryota; Metazoa; Chordata; Mammalia; Primates; Aotidae. The record is from Rfam by way of RNAcentral.
AGCUUUGCACAGUGGCAGUAUCAUAGCCAAUGAGGUUUGUCUGAGGUGCAAUUAUUGCUAAUUGAAAAAUUUUCCCAAUACCCCGCCAUGAUGACUUGAAAUAUAGUCGGCAUUGGCAAUUUUUGACAGUCUCUAUGGAGA